RNAcentral lists this ribosomal RNA (492 nucleotides) under uncultured bacterium. RNAcentral describes it as "partial 16S ribosomal RNA". It matches the Rfam family "Bacterial small subunit ribosomal RNA", at positions 29 to 507 of the family's 1533-position model. The record is from RNAcentral.
AGUGAACGCUGGCGGUAGGCCUAACACAUGCAAGUCGAACGGCAACACAGUAAGAGCUUGCUCUUCCGGGUGGCGAGUGGCGGACGGGUGAGGAAUGCAUCGGAAUCUACUUUUUCGUGGGGGAUAACGUAGGGAAACUUACGCUCAUACCGCAUACGACCUUCGGGUGAAAGCAGGGGAUCUUCGUACCUUGCGCGAUUGAAUGAGCCGAUGUCGGCUUAGCUAGGUGGCGGGGUAAAGGCCCACCAAGGCGACGAUCCGUAGCUGGUCUGAGUGGAUGAUAGGCCACACGGGAACGGAGACAGGGUCAAGACGCCUACGGGAGGCAGCAGUGGGGAAUAGUGGACAAUGGGCGCAAGCCUGAUCCAGCCAGACCGCGUGGGUGAAGAAGGCCUUCGGGUUGUAAAGCCCGUUUGUUGGGAAAGAAAAGCAGCAGGUUAAUACCCCGCUGUUCUGACGGUACCCAAAGAAUAAGCACCGGCUAACUUCGUG